This is a long non-coding RNA of Puntigrus tetrazona (Sumatra barb), 316 nucleotides long. RefSeq lists it as uncharacterized. The transcript is spliced from 3 exons. The record is from RefSeq and is a predicted model, not a curated record. NCBI's taxonomy places the organism in Eukaryota, Metazoa, Chordata, Actinopteri, Cypriniformes, Cyprinidae.
AGCCCUGGUUUACUCACAUCCAUCCAGUAUUUAAGACACAGUACCACAGAUACCAGUAAUUACAGACUGGGACAAGAACAUCUGUGCAAGGAUGAAGACAUUACACGCAAUGCUACUCAUGCUGUUUGUCGCAUCAGUCUUUUCAAAACCAUUUCAUUCACGCAGAAGAUUUGGUUCGUCACACUCUGAGCGGUCUAGAUUCAGUUCAGAGGAAAGUGAUUCACGCAGAGAAGACAGGGAGGAUUCUGAAUCCAACGAGUCUAAAUCAAGUGAAUCUGAAUCUUCGGAGGAAGACAUCAGAGUGGUCUCGAGCGCA